This 63-nucleotide transfer RNA is filed under the name Tropilaelaps mercedesae. Its description in RNAcentral is "tRNA-Trp". The record is from RNAcentral. Lineage: Eukaryota; Metazoa; Arthropoda; Arachnida; Mesostigmata; Laelapidae.
AAGAUUUUAAGUUAAAAAAACUAAUUAUCUUCAAAAUAAUAAUUACAUCUAAUGUAAAUCUUA